CUCGCUAUCCCCUCGUCACUCCGACUGAGUUGCACGCUUCAACCGGGUCCUGCAAGGAUUCUCAGGAUCUGGAGUAGCUUGCCAAGAGUCUGCUGCUGGUUUAACCUUAGAAUGAUGAAUCCAAAGAGUCACUUCCGCCACCUUUACAGCUGUUGGGGUAGAUAAAAGAACAACAUACAAAGGCUAACAGAAUACACCCCGAGCUUUAACUCAUUAUGUAUUGGUGGGAUAUUACGAGCAAGUCCUGGAGGAUUAUUUUCUUCCCAUACUCCUGGAAUGUCAAAUAAGGAUUCAUCACUCUUAGGGUUAACACUUGUCACUAUGGAAUAGAAGCGUCAUUCUUCUUCCCUCGGCACCGAUAUCACCAUUAUGCCUGGUAAUCCCUUAAACUUCAGAGAUGUUAAUCCAUUAGGUAAAAGGUUAUCU
This 426-nucleotide long non-coding RNA is filed under the name Pelobates cultripes (western spadefoot toad). The record is from RNAcentral. Lineage: Eukaryota; Metazoa; Chordata; Amphibia; Anura; Pelobatidae.